Talpa occidentalis (Iberian mole) is the source of this 425-nucleotide long non-coding RNA. RefSeq lists it as uncharacterized. The transcript has 3 exons. The record is from RefSeq and is a predicted model, not a curated record. Lineage: Eukaryota; Metazoa; Chordata; Mammalia; Eulipotyphla; Talpidae.
GAUGCAGGCUGUGGAAUCACAGCGCUUGGGCCCAGUCAUUCACUAGCUUAACUCUGUGGCCCUGAGCAAGUCCUCUAAGUCUCACGCUCCUGUUCUGCAAAACAGCAGCUUCACGUGGCUUGUGGUUACCGCUUCAGACAGUGCAGAGCUAUUUCCUUCGUGUUUGCGUCACAAAGCUCUUGCCUCUUAAAAUCUGGAAUGCUAGAUGGUUUCCCUAGAUGUACAGUCACUCCAAUUCCAUGUGAAUCCUGAAAUAGAUUCCAGAAGGGAAGAUGGAAACCGUACAAUAGAAGAUGUAACAGAGGGUCAAGCAACUGUGUUGAGCGGGAGCAAGGAAUAUAACAUGUGAUGAGACUGAUAUUUUAGAAGUUUCAAUCUGGUGACCAUGAGGAGUAUGGAGCUUGUCAGAGGAUAUUAAGUUUCAU